GUUUGUCCUUUGAAAAUGCAGGAUGAGAAAGUUGGAUACUUGAGUGUUAACCAAAAGGGUAUUUCAAGUUGUCCACAGUUCAAGUGUUCAGCUAAUUCACAUAGGUUCAAUAAUUAUCAAAGUAAGGACUCGUUUCUAAAUCUGCAUCCUGAAAUUUCGAUGCUUCAAGGUGAAGGAAACCAUACUUUCACUACCUCUAGACAGGAAAGCUCGAGUGGAGGUGUUGCCGAGAGCUUAAUGGACUCAUCUAGUUUGAAGAAUUUCAAUGAGGCUAAGAUUAAGGUGGUUGGUGUAGGAGGUGGU
Molecule: unclassified non-coding RNA, 303 nt
Filed under: Hevea brasiliensis (rubber tree)
Lineage: Eukaryota; Viridiplantae; Streptophyta; Magnoliopsida; Malpighiales; Euphorbiaceae
Source: RNAcentral